This 274-nucleotide ribosomal RNA is filed under the name uncultured bacterium. RNAcentral describes it as "partial 16S ribosomal RNA". It matches the Rfam family "Archaeal small subunit ribosomal RNA", at positions 473 to 747 of the family's 1478-position model. The record is from RNAcentral.
AAACCAGCACCUCAAGUGGUCAGGAUGAUUAUUGGGCCUAAAGCAUCCGUAGCCUGCUCUGUAAGUUUUCGGUUAAAUCUGUAUGCUUAAUAUACAGGCUGCCGGGAAUACUGCAGAGCUAGGGAGUGGGAGAGGUAGACGGUACUCGGGAGGAAGUGGUAAAAUGCUUUGAUCUCUCGAUGACCACCUGUGGCGAAGGCGGUCUACCAGAACACGUCCGACGGUGAGGGAUGAAAGCUGGGGGAGCAAACCGGAUUAGAAACCCCUGUAGUCC